Molecule: ribosomal RNA, 465 nt
Filed under: uncultured bacterium
Lineage: Bacteria
Description: partial 16S ribosomal RNA
Rfam family: Bacterial small subunit ribosomal RNA
Source: RNAcentral
CCUACGGGUGGCAGCAGUGGGGAAUGUUGCGCAAUGGUCGUAAGAGUGACGCAGCGACGCCGCGUGAAGGACGAAGGCCUGCGGGGCGGAAAGUUCUUUCGACAGGGAAGAAAAUGACGAUAAGUAACGGUGUAUGAAUUGACGGUACCGGCAAAGGAAGAACCGGCUAACUCCGUGCCAGCAGCCGCGGUAAGACGGAGGGUGCGAGCGUUAAUCGGAAUUACUGGGCGUACAGCGCUCGUAGGCGGUAUGUACAGUCAAGGGUGAAAUCCCCGCGCUCACCGUGGGAACUGCCUUUGAAACUGGCAAACUGGAGUGUGUGAGAGGUUAGUGGAAUUCCCGGUGUAGCCGUGACAUCCGUAGAUAUCUGGCGGAACAUCAGUUGCGAAGGCGGCUCUCUGGCACAUAACUGACGCUGAGGCGCGAAAGCGUGGGUAGCAAACAGGAUUAGAUACCCCAGUAGUC